AAGUCGUAACAAGGUUUCCGUAGGUGAACCUGCGGAAGGAUCAUUACUGAAUAACGAGGUUUGCUGUUCUGGCUCUUGGGAGCAUGUGAACGCAGCUUCAAAUUCAUCUUUACACCCCCUGUGCACCUUUGUGGACUAUAACAGCUCUCAACGGUCGACCUCGGUUGACUUGUUGGAUUGAGGGAUUUGCGCUUCAGCUAUCCUUCAACGUUGUAGUCUACGUUUUAUCUCCAUAUACAAGUCCUAGAAUGAUACUUUGUGGGUCGCGAGACCUAUAAAACUUAUACAACUUUCAACAACGGAUCUCUUGGCUCUC
Molecule: unclassified non-coding RNA, 316 nt
Filed under: air metagenome
Description: partial contains small subunit ribosomal RNA, internal transcribed spacer 1, and 5.8S ribosomal RNA
Rfam family: Eukaryotic small subunit ribosomal RNA (bases 1-46)
Source: RNAcentral